RNAcentral lists this ribosomal RNA (449 nucleotides) under uncultured bacterium. RNAcentral describes it as "partial 16S ribosomal RNA". It matches the Rfam family "Bacterial small subunit ribosomal RNA", at positions 29 to 523 of the family's 1533-position model. The record is from RNAcentral.
AACGAACGCUGGCGGCAGGCUUAACACAUGCAAGUCGAGCGCCCUAGCAAUAGGGAGCGGCGCCCGGGUGAGUAACGCGUGGGAACGUACCUUUUAGUAGUGAAUAACCAAGGGAAACUUUGGCUAAUGCACUAUACGCCCUUCGGGGGAAAGAUUUAUCGCUCAAAGCUCGGCCCGCGUGAGAUUAGGUAGUUGGCGGGGUAAUGGCCUACCAAGGCUACGAUCUCUAACUGGUCUGUGGGGAUGAUCAGCCACACUGGGAAUGAGACACGGGCCAGGAUCCUACGGGAGGAUGCAGUGGGGAAUAUUGGACAAUGGGGGAAACCCUGAUCCUGCCACGCCGCGUGAGUGACGAAGGCUUUAGGGUUGUAAAGCUCUUUCGCGGAUGAAGAUAAUGACGGUAGUCGGAGAAGAAGCCCCGGCUAACUUCGUGCCAGCAGCCGCAGUAA